RNAcentral lists this ribosomal RNA (468 nucleotides) under uncultured bacterium. RNAcentral describes it as "partial 16S ribosomal RNA". It matches the Rfam family "Bacterial small subunit ribosomal RNA", at positions 28 to 507 of the family's 1533-position model. The record is from RNAcentral.
GACGAACGCUGGCGGCGUGCUUAACACAUGCAAGUCGAACGGAAAGGCCCUGCUUUUGUGGGGUGCUCGAGUGGCGAACGGGUGAGUAACACGUGAGUAAACUGCCCUUGACUUUGGGAUAACUCAAGGAAACUGGGGCUCAUAUCGGAUAGGAGAUUCUGCUGCACGGUGGGGGUUGGUAAGUUUAGGCGGUUGGGGAUGGACUCGCGGCUUAUCAGCUUGUUGGUGGGGUAGUGGGUUACCAAGGCCUUGACGGGUAGCUGGCCUGAGAGGGUGACAGGCCACAGUGGGACUGAGAUACGGGCCAGACUCAUACGGGAGGCAGCAGUGGGGAAUAAUGCGCAAUUGGCGGAAGCCUGGUGCAGCAUCGCCGCGUGCGGGAUGACGGCCUUCGGGUAGUAAACCGCUUUCGCCUGUGACGAAGCGUGUGUGACGGUAAUUGGUAAAGAAGCACCGGCUAACUACGUG